ACGCUCGACACCUACGGGAGGAGCAGUGGGGGAUAUUGCACAAUGGGGGAAACCCUGAUGCAGCAACGCCGCGUGAACGAAGAAGGCCUUCGGUUGUAAGUUCUGUUCUUAGUGAAGAAGCAUGACGGUAGCUAAGGAGAAAGCUCCGGCUAACUACGUGUCAGCAGCCGCGGUAAUCUGAGCGGGCUGGCAAGGC
This 196-nucleotide ribosomal RNA is filed under the name uncultured bacterium. RNAcentral's name for it is "partial 16S ribosomal RNA". It matches the Rfam family "Bacterial small subunit ribosomal RNA", at positions 328 to 539 of the family's 1533-position model. The record is from RNAcentral.